Long non-coding RNA from Bubalus bubalis (water buffalo), 898 nucleotides. RefSeq lists it as uncharacterized. Lineage: Eukaryota; Metazoa; Chordata; Mammalia; Artiodactyla; Bovidae. The record is from RefSeq and is a predicted model, not a curated record. The transcript is spliced from 2 exons.
UGCUUUUGUGUUAUUUUUGCGUUGUUAUUAUUAAUGUGACAAGUAUCCUAUUUCUGCUAAGUGUCAAUUACAGGACUGGCUGAAUACUUUUUAUUACAUCUAUGGGAGGCUUACUAGAGAAAGUAAUAUACGAACUGAUUCUUGAAUAGUGAUCCUGCUAGUAGGAAGAAGGGAAGGACAUUUAGACGGAGGGGAUGGCAUGUACAAAACGUCCCUGGAGUAAAGAAACUGCCACUUACCUCAGUGACAAGAAGUGUCUAGAUCCCUCCUGGCAGGUGAGGGCACAUGUGGCAAGAGAAUAGUCCACCCUACUCUAGCCCAGACUUAUGGUCCUUGUCCAGGAUAGACCAGACCAGGAUAACAUGAGACAGGGUAGGCAGAGGGAGGUUUCAAAACACAGCAAAAGAACGCAUCCAAAGUAAGCAGAAAGUAAUGCCAGUGGUCAGGUUUGAAGAGCCAGCUGAAUCUGUGGGUGGGAUAGUGAGGAAUUCAGUGAAAUGUCAAUAGGGAUUGGAAGGAUGUCAAAGGCAGAUCUGGAAGUAAGUUGGAAGGGAGGGUAUUUCAUUUGGAUUACGAUUGCCACCACUGAAAAUAGAUGAGACAAGAUGGAAAAGCACCACCUAGGAAGCACUGCAAAAUUCAGGUUGGUGGAACUCCAGCAAAAUUCCAGUCCUCCCUUCAUAACAAAGUAUCCAUCUGUGGCCCAAAAGAGCAGAUUCACUGAUUUGGAUGCAAAGAAACUUUUUUAGUACAACAUUGAAGAUACCAGUCUGGACAGAAUUUAAACUGGAGCCUGUAUAUCACAAUUUGAAGACUUCACUAAUGGAUGGCUCGUGAGAAAAGGCAACAGUGUGUGUAUGGAGACGUGGGGGUGUAGAGUUUUAUAGAAAUUGUAUUC